RNAcentral lists this ribosomal RNA (253 nucleotides) under uncultured bacterium. RNAcentral describes it as "partial 16S ribosomal RNA". It matches the Rfam family "Bacterial small subunit ribosomal RNA", at positions 524 to 776 of the family's 1533-position model. The record is from RNAcentral.
UACGGAGGGUGCAAGCGUUAUCCGGAUUCACUGGGUUUAAAGGGUGCGUAGGCGGGCAGGUAAGUCCGUGGUGAAAUCCCCGAGCUUAACUCGGGAACUGCCAUGGAUACUAUUUGUCUUGAAUAUUGUGGAGGUAAGCGGAAUAUGUCAUGUAGCGGUGAAAUGCUUAGAUAUGACAUAGAACACCAAUUGCGAAGGCAGCUUACUACAUAGUUAUUGACACUGAGGCACGAAAGCGUGGGGAUCAAACAGG